CCAAUAGCGUAUAUUAAAGUUGUUGCAGUUAAAAAGCUCGUAGUUGAAUUUCGGGGUCAGUAGGUCGGUCGUGCCACAGGUAUGCACUGGUCUCACUGAUUCCUCCUUCCUGAUGAACCGUAAUGCCAUUAAUUUGGUGUUGCGGGGAGACUGGACUGUUACUUUGAAAAAAUUAGAGUGUUUAAAGCAGGCUAACGCUUGAAUACAUUAGCAUGGAAUAACGGAAUAGGACGUUCGAUCUUAUUUUGUUGGUAUCUAAGAUUGACGUAAUGAUUAAUAGGGAUAGUUAGGGGCAUUAGUAUUCAAUUGUCAGAGGUGAAAUUAUUGGAUUUAUUGAAGACUAACUACUGAGAAAGCAUUUGCCAAGGAUGUAUUCAUUAAUCAAGAACGAAAGUUAGGGGAUCGAAGACGAUCAGAUACCGUCGUAGUCUUAACCAUAAACUAUGCCGACUAGGGAUCGGAUGAUGUUAAUUUUUUAAUGACUCAUUCGGCGCCUCACG
RNAcentral lists this ribosomal RNA (500 nucleotides) under uncultured Glomeromycotina. RNAcentral describes it as "partial small subunit ribosomal RNA". It matches the Rfam family "Eukaryotic small subunit ribosomal RNA", at positions 591 to 1092 of the family's 1831-position model. The record is from RNAcentral. Lineage: Eukaryota; Fungi; Glomeromycota.